UUCCGGUUGAUCCUGCCGGAGGUCACUGCUAUUGGGAUUCGACUAAGCCAUGCGAGUCGAGAGGGUUCGGCCCUCGGCCGACGGCUCAGUAACACGUGGAUAAUCUGCCCUUAGGUGGAGGAUACCCUCGGGAAACUGAGAAUAAUACUCCAUAGAUCUUAGAUGCUGGAAUGCAUUAAGGUUGAAAACUCCGGUGCCUUAGGAUGAGUCUGCGGACUAUCAGGUAGUAGUCAGGGUAAAGACCUGACUAGCCUACGACGGAUACGGGUUGUGAGAGCAAUAACCCGGAGAUGAUAUCUGAGACACGAUAUCAGGCCCUACGGGGCGCAGCAGGCGCGAAACCUUCACACUGUGCGAAAGCGCGAUGAGGGAAUCCCAAGUGUAUGCACGUAAGUGUAUACUGUUUCUAUGUCUAAAAAGCAGAGAGAGUAAGGGCUGGGUAAGACGGGUGCCAGCCGCCGCGGUAAUACCUGCAGCUCAAGUGGUGACCGCUAUUAUUGGGCCUAAAACGUCCGUAGCCUGUUUAUUAAAUGCCUGGGUAAAUCGUGCCGCUUAACGGUACGAAUUCCGGGUAGACUGAUAGGCUUGAGACCGGGAGAGGCUAGAGGUACUCCUGGGGUAGAGGUGAAAUUCUGUAAUCCUGGGGGGACCACCAGUGGCGAAGGCGUCUAGCUAGAACGGGUCUGACGGUGAGGGACGAAGCCCUGGGGCGCAAACCGGAUUAGAUACCCGGGUAGUCCAGGGUGUAAACGCUGCUUGCUUGAUGUUAGUCGGGCUCCGAGCCCGAUUAGUGUCGGAGAGAAGUUGUUAAGCAAGCUGCCUGGGAAGUACGAUCGCAAGAUUGAAACUUAAAGGAAUUGGCGGGGGAGCACAGCAACGGGGGAGCGUGCGGUUUAAUUGGAUUCAACGCCGGA
This 914-nucleotide ribosomal RNA is filed under the name uncultured archaeon. RNAcentral's name for it is "bacterial SSU rRNA". It matches the Rfam family "Archaeal small subunit ribosomal RNA", at positions 1 to 922 of the family's 1478-position model. The record is from RNAcentral.